AUAACAGAAAACACCUUCACAGUCGAGCCAAGUUUUGGAGACGCGUCGUGUGCCUACCCAGUGAAGAAUUUCGCGGCGCCCCAAGUCUCAUGCACUAGUCAGUUGCCUCUAGGUAAGUAGUAGGUGUUUUUCAGCCAUAGAGGCGUUCUGCUACAUCGCGACAUCGCGAGCCCCAGUCUGUCGUCGGUCGUCGUCUGGCUCUAGAAGGUAUUAAAUAACAGCGAACUUGUCCGGCAACGUUUCAUUAGUAGACGCGCCGUCAAUCCGAAAACAAGUGCCAUUUUACUCACAGUGAACUCACGCGUUUCCCCGUUCGCGACGAAUUGCAAAAAAAAAAAAUUGAAGUAAACCGACCGCCUUGUUCCGACCCUCUUUCCUGCGCUUAGAGGCACCCUCGAGUUAGUAGAUCGUAGUUCCAGUUUAGAAGUAGAGCGUGGAUUUUCUGUUGGUUUUUUUUAUUCAUCUUCCAGAACUCACCGUAAUCGGAUUUAAGUGUACGUUUUGUAGAGGGGCUUAUUAAAAUCUAAAGUUGGAAGGAAGUUUCCCUAUCGUAUCAUUUGACAUCUGUUUUGAGUUUGUGUGUGUCCGGGGUAAAUUUUUGUUCUACAAAGUUCGAAGACUGUACGAUAAGAUCUAGUUAAGUGCGAACCGAACAUUCGAGCAUUGAGCUCAACGAAUAGUGCUAUAUAAGUGAUUUAGUUUCAUCGGCGCAGCUUCUAAGCUUCCAUAUCGAGACAAAGUUAGUGGAGAUCAAAAUCUUUGAUCUGAAGAGCUCUCGCAGCAUUACUCAGCCAGCAUCGCUAACGGAAACGUGCUUCAAUCAUCAAACUCACGCGCCAAAUUAACGAACGUGUAGGAUUACAAAUCCAUAUUAGGAUAAACGCUUCCAAUCGCAAAGAUCACAGACUUAAGGCAACAAACAGUUCAUCUAACUUCGAACGUUUAAGUUUUUCUUAGUUUUACGACCCAUUUGCAAGCGAAAGAAAUCAUCUAAAAUGGUUGUCCUGCAGAGCACCAGCGCCAGUGUCACAUCCGCCUCAGCUGCCGCCGCCGGAAGCACCAAGGGUGGCCGCAAGAUAUCGUCCGCUGCUGGCGGCAACGUCCGGAAAAGGUACCGACACGCGUACCGGGUGAUGGUGGGAUUCGAACAGCGACCAUGGACCCCCACCAAGAGACGUGGCCCGAUCGCUGCCGAACAUCGAGGCCCUGGACCGCAAUAUCUGCUGCCACAAUUGCUCGGUACGAGAGUGGUCGAUUCCAAACGGGCGGCCGCUCCGGCAUACAGUUUCGGCCAGCGGCACCGGGCCCGGACCGAAUCCUUCAGUCCGGGUCCGCUGUACAACAUCACCGGGCUCGGCUGCAAAGGUAAAGACACCCCGCCGGCCUACUGUCUGCAGAGCCGGCCCAAGGAGAUUCCCAAGUACCUGACGCCGGCCCCGGGCGAGUACAACAUCGAGAAGGCGAACCGGAUGCUGGUCAAAGCGGCCCCCCGGUACACAUUCGGCGUCAAGAAGCCCCCGAAAUCGACCAGCGAAACGCCAGCACCAUGUGAUUACAAACCAGAGAAAGUUGUAUUAGAUAACACUCCUAAAUUUUCCUUUGGGAUUCGACCGGAAGUUAAAGUGCGCAGUGAAACUCCAGCUCCCGGAUCCUACUCACCGCAAAAAGUAUUAUUCGACAAAUCACCAAAGUAUAGCUUUGGCCUGAAAGUGAUUCCGGAAAAGUUCGAGGACAUCCCUGGACCGGGAUCUUAUCAGCCGGAAAAGUCCAGCCUACUGCUGGACCGGAAACCGGCCUUCACAUUCGGUUUGAAGACAAUCGCUGAAAAGCCCAGCCAAACGCCUGCCCCGUGCGCAUAUGAACCUGAAAAAACGAAGCUGGAUAACACGCCCUCCUAUAGCUUUGGUUUAAGGCCGAAUUUGGAGAAACCCAAUGCGAAUCCAGCACCUGGUCAGUAUGCACCGGAGAAGUCGAAAACCCUCGACCACUCACCAGCCUAUCAAUUCGGCAUACGCCUCAAUCAUGACAAGCCAAGCGAUACACCAGCUCCAACGGCUUACGCAGUAGAGAAAGUAAACCUAGCUCAUCAUCCGGCUUAUAGUUUUGGGCAGCGAACGAAUGUGGCCAAACCGAACAGCAAUCCUGCCCCGGGUGCCUACGCACCGGAAAAGGCCAACGCAGAGGGUGGUCCCAAGUAUAGCUUCGGAAUCCGACCGACAAUCGAUACCGUUGAUUCGGUGCCCGCUCCCGGAUCUUAUUCUCCCGAAAAGGCCAAGAUAGAUAGCAAUAGUCCCGCGUAUAGCUUCGGAGCGCGAAUCAAUCAUGAUAAACCAAGUGCCAAUCCCGGACCGGGAGCCUACGAUGCCGAUAAGGUGCUGGACAAGAAUGCACCUUGCUAUAGUUUCGGAGCCAGAACGAAUGUAGAUAAGAAAAGUGAUAUUCCUGGUCCCGGAGCCUACGAUACGGAUAAGUUAGUUGAUAAGACUCCUGCUUACAGUUUUGGUGUUAAGACAAAAGGAGAUAAACCUAGUGAUAUUCCUGGCCCUGGUGCAUAUGAUGCUGAUAAGGUUAUCGACAAGGGUACUCCGGCGUAUAGUUUUGGAUUGAAAACAAACGUCAAUAAGCCGAACAACGUACCUGGACCAGGAGCGUACGAUUCCGACAGAGUUGAUAAAGGUGCUCCUGCGUACAGUUUUGGCGCAAAAACGAAUCUCGAUAAACCAAAUCAAGUACCCGGACCAGGAACUUAUGAUAGCGAUAAAGUUGACAAGACAACUCCAGCUUACAGUUUUGGCGUGAAGACAAAUCUAGAGAAACCCAACAAUGUCCCAGGACCUGGUGCGUACAACUCCGACAAAGUAGUUGACAAAAAUACGCCAGCUUACAGUUUUGGUAUAAAACACAGUACCGAAAAGUCUGAUAGCAUUCCAGGUCCCGGAGCUUACAACUCAGACAAAGUUGACACCGGAGCUCCAGCCUACUCCUUUGGUGUUAAAACGAAUGUCGACAAACCGAACCAAGUCCCUGGACCUGGUGCCUAUGACUCCGACAAAACUGUUGACAAAAAUGCUCCUGCGUACAGUUUCGGAGUGAAAACUUACGUCGAUAAGAUACCUCAACUUCCUGGACCAGGUACAUACGACGUUGACAAAGUUGUAGACAAAUCGACUCCAGCUUACACAUUUGGGGUGAAAACCAACGUGGACAAAAAGGACAACAUUCCUGGCCCGGGUGCCUACAAUAACGAAAAAAUCCUAGACAAGGAUACACCUGCUUACAGUUUCGGACUGAAAACAAACACCGAUAAAGUAGAUAACACACCCGCACCGGGAUCAUACGCCCCGGAGAAGUGCAACCUGGACCACACACCCCAAUACACUUUUGGCAUCAAGACAAACGUCACCCGAAAGGACACCAUUCCCGGUCCGGGAACCUACAAAACGGAAACCGUCAAACUGGACAACACUCCGGCCUAUUCCUUUGGAGUACGCCCAAAUAUCGAUAAAGUAGACUCUAACCCCGCCCCCGGAAGUUAUUCUCCCAUUGUGCCAAAAAUUCACAACCCAGCGUACACGUUCGGGGUGCGGCCAAAUAUCGACAAGGUUGAGUCUACUCCGGCGCCCGGGGAUUACAAACCGGAAACCGUGAAGCUGGACCACACCCCUGCCUACAGCUUCGGCACCCGACCUAGCAUCGAUAAAAUAGAACUGACUCCGGCACCCGGGGCCUACGAAGUGGAAAAAGUGAAGCUGGACCACGCUCCCGCCUACCAGUUCGGUAUCAAAACCAACCGGGAAAAGGUUAACGAUGUACCAGCCCCCGGUUCAUACAAUCCGGAGAAAUGCAAACUGGAACACGCUCCUGCAUAUUCGUUUGGAAUCAGGCACAAAGGAGAAACGCUUAGGGAUACGCCAGCUCCUUCCGCCUACCGCCCAGAGCAAUGCAAAAUAGAUGUCGCCCCAGCGUUCACCUUCGGAGUGAAGGUAAAUCCUGAAAAGCUCAGUGAUAACCCAGUAUCAGAGUCCGCCGGAAACACAGUGACGACAGUCUCGGCAUUGAGCAAUGGCAACGGCACUUCCAUCACUUCCGGCAACCAGGUUCAAACCUCCGCCGUUUCCGCCACAGCUUCCCGAAAAUUGACCACGGUGAUAGAAAACGGUGGCGGAAGUGGCACCGUUGCACUGAAGCAAUCUAGUAGCACCAGCAGCAGUGCCCAAAGUAGUUCUAUCCAACAGAAACAACAGCAAAAUUCCACCCAACAAGUGGUGGCCAAUGGAAAUGGGGUCUUAACGACGACCACAACCACCAGCGGAAGUGUCAAGAUGACUCGGGAGAGGAAAACUGUCUGCGAGGAGCGGGUCAGCAAUGGCAGCAGCACCACAGUUAGCACAACCGAGGCCGUUGUCCCAAGUUGCAUUUCCGGUCAGGUGAAAUCGUCCCUACAGCAUCAGCGCAUGGUCUGCACCGGACACUUCCGGGCCUAAGAUGGGUUUCCUCCGAUUUCAUUCGUGUUUGAGAAAAAGAAACGUAGUGUUGUGUCUGUGUUGAUUUUUGUAAAAGUGUCGUAUAUAGAGUUUUUUGUGCUUCCUAUAGAUGAACUAGCUUUUAAAGUGCUUUUUAUUUGAAAUAAUGAACUCACAAAACCCUAAAAGUUAAAUAAGACAAAAAUACUGUGCACCUGAAACGUAGACUUUGUAUUGGAUUUUGAUUCCUACGUAGCUGUUGUAGAUUUUUUGCAUGUUUUAUCAUUACCGACAUUCUCAAUAUCAUCUGUAACAAAAGCCCCCAACGAAUACCACAUUCCAGAAGUGCUCGGCUCAAGCAAAGAAGGCCAGAUCCGAUCCGCCCCCGCCUACACAAUCACCGGUCGCCAAAAGCCUCGGCUUCCUGAGUGCAUCACUUUCCCUGGUCCCGGCCAUUA
This is an RNA transcript of Uranotaenia lowii, 4921 nucleotides long. RefSeq lists it as uncharacterized. The record is from RefSeq and is a predicted model, not a curated record. The transcript has 11 exons. Lineage: Eukaryota; Metazoa; Arthropoda; Insecta; Diptera; Culicidae.